GUGCUUGCUUUGGCAGCACAUAUACUAAAAUUGGAACGAUACAGAGAAGAUUAAUGCAUGGCCCCUGUGCAAGAAAGACAUGCAAAUUCAUGAAGCGCUCCAUAUUUUA
This 109-nucleotide small nuclear RNA is filed under the name Castor canadensis (American beaver). Lineage: Eukaryota; Metazoa; Chordata; Mammalia; Rodentia; Castoridae. The record is from RNAcentral.